Dreissena polymorpha is the source of this 1993-nucleotide long non-coding RNA. RefSeq lists it as uncharacterized. The record is from RefSeq and is a predicted model, not a curated record. The transcript is spliced from 3 exons. NCBI's taxonomy places the organism in Eukaryota, Metazoa, Mollusca, Bivalvia, Myida, Dreissenidae.
CUUUGGAAUUAUUUUAAAAAUAAAACAUUUCCGGAAUAUUUCCAAAACCAUUAAAGAUACUUUAUUAUUAGUCUGGCAGUCUAUGUACAGGACUUACAUAUAAAGUUUGAGUUUUAUUCAUGUCCAUUGUUUUUUGAUGCAGCUUUAAUAAAAUGGACCCAACAAUUUCAAGACUGAAAUUUCAACUUGAAAGAGAAAGGAUGAAGACUAGAAACCUCCGCAGAGCUUUGGCUCAAUGCCAAAGAAGGAAUCAACCACUGAAGGUAUGGAUUCACUAGUCAUGAUGUAAAAGGUGAACAACCAAGUCAGAAAAAGGGCUGAGGAAAAGCGAAAAAGGUAGGAGUGAAGUGUGUAUUCAGUGAAGGGUCCAUAAUUAGAACAAUCCCAUAUUUCUUAUGUGAUUUAAAUGUGUUUCCACACUUGCCAAGAACAGUUAAGUGAAGUAUGAUUCAAGUUUGGUGAUUGGAUAGGUAUAUAUAAGAUACAUACAUUAAUUUUUAGUAGGCAAGACAGUUUAAUAUACAACAACAUAUCUUUAAAGUGAUUUUAAGCUUACCUUGCAACAACAAAAAUUAAUUCAGGUGACUGUGAUUGACACAAUUAAUUAUAAUUAUACCCCUGUUUUAAAAUAAUUGGGUAAUAUUGCAAUCACAAUAAACAUCUCUCAGUCCACUUAUGCUUCCUUGUGAGGUCUUCAACACAGAUCUGAAUUCAAUCAAACAUGAUAUGCAGAAUCCUUGUAGAGUGCACAUGCAUGUAUUUGUUUCCUUCCAAUGAUUUAUUAGAGAGUUAUUGAAUUUUGAUUAUGAAAAUAUAAGUAUAUAAUGGAUGUUUCAUUUUGCAUGAGAUUUCACAACAAAUAAUCAGAAUUUUAUUUAACACUUUGUACUCAGCUUCUGCAAUGGAUGGAUAUGCAUACAUGUUAAGGUUGCUCCAAUGAUUCUUGGGCAUUUCAUAUAUUUUGACUAAUAAAAGGAUUUUUAACCAGGUUUUUAACCAGGUUUUCCGAAAGAAAAAACUGGUUAUUAGAUUGGCGAAUGCGGGCGGACUGGCUGGCUGGCUGGCUGGCGGGCGGGCGGAACAAGCUUGUCCGGGCCAUAACUAUGUCGUUCAUAGUCAGAUUUUAAAAUCAUUUGGCACAUUUGUUCACCAUCAUUGGACGGUGUGUCGCGCGAAAGAAUCACGUCAAUAUCUCCAAUGUCAAGGUCGCCACAACUAAAAAUAGUUGUUUUUUUUAAACAAACUUACAAAGGGGGUUAAUUUUGUUUGUUCAUUUCAAAAGUUCAGUUUGAGUUUUCUCCCUUUAUCACAUUUUUUUUUCACAAUGAAAACCUGGUUUUGUGACAAUUUUGUCCCUUGUUAUUGAAUAAUAUGUUUUUGUGUCAGCUCACUUGAGCUUAUAAUGGGAAUUUGAUGAAACCUUAUAUUUAGCAUCCUUACAUUGACAAAGUGCUUUCAUUGGAGAUCAAUCAUUUAUUGCACUGAUGCUCUUGUUUAACUUUUGACAUUUCAUAACAUCAUGAUUUUCAAUACACACUUUAAUAUAAUAUUAUUGUUUCAUGUAUAAACUUCCUCACCAUAAUACAAUUUAAACAAAAAUUAUUUUCCGCUGAAAAUCCAUUUAUCAUGGGUUUAAUGUUUAAGCCUUCAGUUAAAAAAAGUGGAGGUAUAUUGCUUUGCUUCUGUCCAUCUGAUGGUUGAAUGGCCGGUUGGUUGGUCGCUUUUGUUUCUGCACUUGAUCUUGAGAACACUUACCUUGUGUGUGAUUUUGAAAAAUUAUAAAUUUGUCAGCUCUUUAUCUACCAGCAUAUAUGUGGUUUAUUUUAUACUAGUUAAUUGCUGGAUAUGUCAGCUGGAACUGUAUACAAUUAUUAUUAGAUUAACUAAGGUACUGCUGGGGGUGGAUGCAUUCCGGCUUGUAAUGUUUAUAUAUUGUGAACAUAACAAUUUGUUCAAUCCCAUGUUAUUUUAUUAUCCAUGAAAAUAUUUUCAU